UCCGUAGGUGAACGUGCGGAAGGAUCACUAACACAUCGAUCUAGGAUCUUUGAAUAAUCGCGAAAUGCGAGUGCUUUUUGCCAGACACGGUGCAGGCCCCAAAACCCGGGACACUCCAUCAUGAUUUGGUUGUUUGAAAAAUUCAAAAAAAGCCUCCAAACAAACAAGUUCUGGGUUGCAUGUAGCAUGUUGGCUGCUGCGACCGAGGACGACACGUUUUUCUUCUUUUCAAUAUUUAUUUGAUCACCGGCCAUGAACGUUGGAACAUGAAGCUGAAACGGUGAGAUGCCUAGCUCUUAGCAGCGCGGUGAUCUUGCUGAAGAAACCAAUUUUUCAUAUACAACUUUCAGCAACGGAUGUCUAGGUUCCCACAACGAUGAAGAACGCAGCGAAAUGCGAUACGUCAUGCGAAUUGCAAAACCUCGUGAACCAUCAAAACUUUGAACGCACAUUGCGCUACCGGGACUCGUCCCGGUAGCAUACUUGUCUGAGUGUCAGUGAACCUAACUCGGCGUGACAGCGACGCAAGGCCAACACUUGGGCUUGGGUCUAGUCAUGAGCCCGAUCUAUGGGGAUAUAAUGUGCUCGUGAUCGCAGAUGGCGAUCGGAGCUCCCUCCCAAGUUUCCAGUAGAGAUAGUAAUGUUAGGAGUUGCUCCCGUUCAGGAACACCUUUGCUUUCAGUAACAAAUUUUCCUACUUUUGAUACUGGUAUCGCCGUACCUUUUGUGGAAAUAUCGGUUUGUUGUUGCAAGCAUUGCGAGUUGCUGCCGGGGAUGGAACUUGGAACAGACUACUGAUCAAGUCUGGACUGACUAAAAAGAAAAAGCAUCGCAUCACAAAAAAGUUGCAAUGCUUGGCUUUGACUUGGUCAUACGACACCUCUCCUUUCAGAUCUCAGCUCAAGUACGAGCACACGCCGGGUUUAAGCCUAUCAAUAAGCGAGGA
RNAcentral lists this ribosomal RNA (946 nucleotides) under Tabularia cf. tabulata. RNAcentral describes it as "eukaryotic LSU rRNA". The stretch from base 342 to 497 matches the Rfam family "5.8S ribosomal RNA". Lineage: Eukaryota; Bacillariophyta; Fragilariophyceae; Fragilariales; Fragilariaceae. The record is from RNAcentral.